CUUCCGUAGGGUGACCUGCGGAAGGAUCAUUACCGAGUGUAGGGUUCCUAGCGAGCCCAACCUCCCACCCGUGUUUACUGUACCUUAGUUGCUUCGGCGGGCCCGCCAUUCAUGGCCGCCGGGGGCUCUCAGCCCCGGGCCCGCGCCCGCCGGAGACACCACGAACUCUGUCUGAUCUAGUGAAGUCUGAGUUGAUUGUAUCGCAAUCAGUUAAAACUUUCAACAAUGGAUCUCUUGGUUCCGGCAUCGAUGAAGAACGCAGCGAAAUGCGAUAACUAGUGUGAAUUGCAGAAUUCCGUGAAUCAUCGAGUCUUUGAACGCACAUUGCGCCCCCUGGUAUUCCGGGGGGCAUGCCUGUCCGAGCGUCAUUGCUGCCCAUCAAGCACGGCUUGUGUGUUGGGUCGUCGUCCCCUCUCCGGGGGGGACGGGCCCCAAAGGCAGCGGCGGCACCGCGUCCGAUCCUCGAGCGUAUGGGGCUUUGUCACCCGCUCUGUAGGCCCGGCCGGCGCUUGCCGAACGCAAAUCAAUCUUUUCCAGGUUGACCUCGGAUCAGGUAGGGAUACCCGCUGAACUUAAGCAUAUCAAUAAGCGGAGGAA
Molecule: ribosomal RNA, 597 nt
Filed under: Aspergillus oryzae
Lineage: Eukaryota; Fungi; Ascomycota; Eurotiomycetes; Eurotiales; Aspergillaceae
Description: eukaryotic LSU rRNA
Rfam family: 5.8S ribosomal RNA (bases 215-368)
Source: RNAcentral